AAGGGUAUAGCUCAGAGGUGGAGCACAUGCUUAGCGUGCACGAGGUCAUGGGUUCAAGUCCCAGUAUCUCCA
Molecule: transfer RNA, 72 nt
Filed under: Camelus bactrianus (Bactrian camel)
Lineage: Eukaryota; Metazoa; Chordata; Mammalia; Artiodactyla; Camelidae
Also listed under: 3 other names
Rfam family: tRNA
About the family: Transfer RNA (tRNA) molecules are approximately 80 nucleotides in length. Their secondary structure includes four short double-helical elements and three loops (D, anti-codon, and T loops).
Source: Rfam by way of RNAcentral